Microplitis mediator is the source of this 1805-nucleotide long non-coding RNA. RefSeq lists it as uncharacterized. The transcript has 3 exons. The record is from RefSeq and is a predicted model, not a curated record. NCBI's taxonomy places the organism in Eukaryota, Metazoa, Arthropoda, Insecta, Hymenoptera, Braconidae.
AUAACUUAUCUACUAUUGUAAUAUAUUAGUAAUUUACUUGCGACUUUAUUAAUUCGGGCAAUCUACUUGCAUUCUUUAUCAAUCUGUCUAAUUCCGUGUCACGGAGGUGUAAUAAAAUAUAAAAAGAUAAUAAAAUAAAUAUUCACGAUUUGUUGAUAAAAUAUCACGACUCACGACUCAUGAUUGUAUUUACGUAUUGGUUUGCAGAAAACCAUGUAUAUAAACGACAAGAGUACUUAGCUUUUUUAUUAAACUUAUUCGUAAAGCUAUUGGUUCACGUAUUCGCAGACAGUUUUAAAGUUGUCAUCACAUUAAUCUUUUUUUAACAACUCUACAAUGGUGUCCGGAAAGUUAAUUGUUCUAAUUAUUGCCAUAAUUCUAAUUGUCACUAUCAGAGAAUCGAAUAGCAUCCGGAGUCUAGUAGUUCAUGGACAUUGCCCAUCAGGUUUGAUGCCGUUUGGUAGAUUUUGCAUUGACGAAGACAAAACUCAGUAGCGUUUCUGUGAGACUAGGGCAAAGCGGGGCUAGUUGAUCAUAGGGGCAAGGUGUGCAAUCGAAAUAUCUCGAAAACUAAACAACUUACAACAAAAGUUUAAAUGGUGAAAAAAAAGGGUUCCGGGAGGAGAACACAUUGCAUGAUUAUCAAUUGCCAUCCGUCGCUCAGACUUAUUAACAGAAAGCUUUGUUUUUUUUGCGGCAAAAAAAAAACAGGUCUUUAAAAUUUUUCUCCUAUACACGGAAAGAAAAAUCACUGUUACUGCAACAGGAGGCGGUCUUGUUGCAGCAACGUGAUAAAAUCCUGUUAUAGCAACAGGAUUAAUACCGUUGUUGCGAAUUAAUAGUAAAAUAUAGUUACACAGUAAAAAAUUUGGUGUCAUUGCGUCAAAAAACAGUGUUAAAAAUAUUUAACACAAAAAUUUUUAACAUUGAGUUUUUUGACGCAAUGACGCAAAAUUUUUUACUGUGUAACAAUAUUUUACUAUUAAACGCAACAAUAGUAUUAAUCCUGUUGCUGCAACAUGGCUGCCUCCUGUUGCAGCUACAGUAAAUUUUUUUCUGUGUACUCGUAUACAAAUACUUUUUCGUGAUCACGUAAGUAUUCAAAGAUAACUAAAUUAUUGCUCUUUCGAUUCUAUAUGAUGAUUUAUUUUUAACCCUUAUUAUUUUUUUAUAAUUUAACUUUUACUCCGUUGCCUCAUUUGGGGCUAGUUGAGCAAGGCGCGCUCAAUGCAUUAAAUGCGUGCCUAGCGUUGGUCUAACCUAUAUGUUUUUAUACAUGCAAUUGUGAUAGUUACAAAAAUGAUUUAAUAAUUUGCGAUUGUUGAUCAACUAGCAAUAUUUUUUGUCUCAUAAUUAGUCACUACUUUAAUUCGAUAUUUAGUUACUUAAUAAUUAUUGUUAAAUAUAUAAUUUUAAAUACAAAAAGUGUAACAAUAAUCCAAAGAUUGGGAAGUUUUAAUUUUGUUUGAUUUUAUUUUAAAUAUCAAAGUUAUAAUAAUAAUAUAAGUAUGCAACAAUCAUAAUAAAUAAAUACUUGCUUGUUAAUUACAACUUUAUGUUGUAUUCAUAUGAUUUUGUACCGUAAGAUGGACGGUGGUGGUAGAAGGUUCAUCCAAGUCAUAAAGUUUCAGGUCGGGAACUUUGUGUACUUUAAAGGAGAAUCGGGCUUGUCGAGAGCUUGGGUUCGAACCCAACUCAAAACAUCCCCAGUUCGGUCCGAUCAAUCGAUUCUACAUAAAAUUUCCUUUAAUUUGAUAUAAUUUUUUUUUUUUUUUUUUUUUUAUGUUUUUAAUCCUAGUUUGUAU